AUAAACAAAUAUAUCAUACAUAUGUAAAUGUCGAUACAUAAGAUGUCCAACAAAAUCUGUACUUUUCAAGUUCACAUCAUUCCUAUAAGUAUGUUUAAUAAAAAAAAACAAGGUACCAUAUUCGAUAUCACUAAAUUAUAUUCCAAUAAUCUGUGUCUUGAAGAAAUAUCAUCUAGUAGCUUAUGUGUUCCAAUACAAUACACCAAUAGUAUUGAUUUUUCCUGUAAAAAAGAUGAGUAUAAUUACACUUCAAAAAUAAAUCAAAAAAAAUAUAAACACAAAUUGAAUAAGAACCGUAGAGAAGCAUAGCUUUACAUGAGAAAGAAAUUCAGUCAUGGAGCUUCCAUUAGUCUAAAUUUAUCCUUACCAAGAAUGAUGGCUCUGUUUCAUAUAAACCUCUGAAUGCAGAUUUGACUCUUAAGGGUGCAUUAAAUUUUCAACUACUAUUCGGACUGAAUUAAAAUCAAGCAGUGAAUUCCAUUUUGCAUAUAGACAUGUUUUUAAUUCUUAUUUUUUAUAAUAGUGAUGCAGUACAAUUGAUUUUGUAGAUUGUUGAUUGAGUCACUUAUUCCUCGGGAAUAUAAAUAUCCACAAUUUAAAAAAAAAUCAAGAAAUAUCUAUGCCUAAUAGAAAAACAAUACAAGAAUCACUAUCAAAUAAUAUAUGUCUAAUAAGAAAAUAAUACAAGUAUGACUAUCAGUGAAUAAAGCCUUACCCCUAUCUUAUGAUUGUAAAUUUAAAGAGGUUUUCAAAGGACUCUCAGUCCAAGUAACACACAUAGCCUUUGGAUAUAUUAUGAAUAUAAAAUUUCUUAACAAAAUAAUUAACUUAUAACGGCACUUGAAAUAGACAUCAAAAAUAGAGGUGGAAAAUGCAAAAUAGGAUUAUAUUAUUAAAUAAAAAUGUAGAAAGAAAAAAUUAGUUGAGUAUGAAUAAAAUGCCGCAAUUCGUAGAAUGAUUUGAUGAGAAAUUGAAAAGCUAAUGGAAAAAAGAUUUCACCCGAAACACAUAAAAGUCAAAAUGGAAAAAAAAGGGGAGCAGUAUAAUUCUGUCAUGGGAAUGCUAUACAAUCUAAUCUACUUGUAUAAUAUCAAAUCAGCUCAAGGUUCAUAGUACUCCAACAAAUAUUGCCACACUUUAUGUAGCCAAUUCAAUUUAAUGAAACCUUAUUUUGAAUGGAAUCUUUGACACAUAUGCCUUCUCUACUUUUCUUGCUAGUGAGAAACUUUGAGGAUGGAACAACUUUCAACGUAAUCAAAACCAUCAGCAAAAAGUAUACAAGAAAAUUGAGAGGUGGUGUGCAUACCUGAACUUAGCAAAAAUGCAUAAUUUAGGCGUUAAUUUUCUAAAAAUCAUAAUCAUCAACUAUGUCAUACCAUCUAACAAAUGGGUGAAAUAAAAAAUAGUAUAAGACACUAAAGCUUUCAGUACAUGGAGAAUUUGGGGAAGGGACAAAUAAGAAGUGUUGAUGGUAUGUAGUCUGGCCCCAUAUUUCCGGAAGAGGCUUUUUCCUCAACUUGAACUUAUGACCUCUUUGCUAAUGUAAAAAUUUUUACUAUAUUGAUAUGGAAUUUUCUAGCAAUUUUACAUCAGUAUUUUUGUAAUCUAGUUGGUAAGAAGGGGAAAUAUAACAAUGCCAUAGUAAUAAUUCAUAAAGCAGUAUUACCUGUGUUUGCAAAGGUACUUUCAUAACCCUCAAAGACCAAGAAAAUAACCCAACAACAAAAAGGUUAUCAUAUAAUUGAUAAACAAAAUAAAAUAGUCAAAUUAAAACUAGGAAAAUAAUAAUUAAAAAAAAUUAACGGAACUUUGAAUAUGAUUGCAUUAAUAACCCAGAAACAUCACACUUAGUAUUUCCGUUCAUAGCUACCAUUCAUUCUAUUAGAAUUUUCUCUAAUGUUGACCUAAAAUCAUGAAAUUACACCUCUUCAUAUUUUAAAUUUUGACCAAAUGUAGAACUUAAAGGAAAUACUUAUUAACUAAUUUAGGGUUUCAGGAAGAGGGAAUGAAAAAAAUUGGGGAAUUUACCUCUUAAAGGAAUGUGUCAUGUUAUUAUCACCAUCGCCUAUCAAUCUCCGGGCCAUUCUUGUAAGCUCUCUUCACAUGCAAUAAAAAAUAAAAAUGAAAUCUAGCUAAAGUAAA
This 2142-nucleotide long non-coding RNA is filed under the name Capsicum annuum. Its description in RNAcentral is "long non-coding RNA (CANN_LNC012366)". Lineage: Eukaryota; Viridiplantae; Streptophyta; Magnoliopsida; Solanales; Solanaceae. The record is from RNAcentral.